Molecule: non-coding RNA, 31 nt
Filed under: Mus musculus (house mouse)
Lineage: Eukaryota; Metazoa; Chordata; Mammalia; Rodentia; Muridae
Source: RNAcentral
UNUACCUCUUGCGACUCUUAAAGUGACUGCC